ACACAGGGAAGACCUGUGACCCAGAAGGUAUAAUUUCUGAAUUGGAGAGUUUCAAAGUUACAAUGGAAAAGCUGCAACAAGAGCUUUCUUUUUGACAGAAAUCCAGAAAAGAUGUGCUGCUUCCUACCAGCCCCCUCUGGCCAGGGCCUAUCAGCAGCACCAAAUGAGCGCGACAGAGGCCCACCUCUGAGAUGGCAUCUUCCCAGCCACUCGCAGGAGCCAAUCAUAUCAUCGCAAUGGAAACCUGCAGCUCCAGAUAAUGUCACUUGGCCCCAAACACUGUACAGUGUGUGCCUUUCCUGUCUUCCUGAGAAAGUUGAGGUUGAGCUGCUGAGCCUGACCCUUGAAAAGCCUUUGGAAUUCCUCCCGACACAGACUAGAUAAGGGAUUUAUUUUUAAUUGGAAAUUUUAAGGCGUUUACUUUACCAUCCCUUAUUUGGUGCACAGAUCUAGCUAUUUCACGGAGAUUUCAGCUCUGCCAAUGAGCGGGAGCUGAUACCUUUCCUCAGAAAAUCUGGUUGGGGGUGGUCAGCAGAAGAUUCAACAAGACAUGAACAAGGGAAGUUCUUGCCUAGACCCACCCAGAGAAAACCCCAGAGAAGAGCGCUGAGCACUCAUUUCAUCAUGAAGCUUCAAGAGCAGAGAAGUGCUUUUAACACAAAUGAAUACCGUCCAGUGCCCAACAGAAGCAGGAGGAUUCUUCUCCCAACUCCUACUGCAGCCCCUGCUCUAAGGAUCUGGCUUCUUCCCAGGCAGCUUCCUCUCUUGAUGCUGUUCUCGGCCCUGCAGACACCCACCGGGAGUUCUGAGGUUGCAGUUAACAUCGACUUUGACUUGACACCAGAUUCCUUUGAUGAUCAGUACCAAGGCUGCAGCCCACAGGUCAUGGAGAAGCUAAAUCAAGGGGAUUAUUUUGCAAAAGAACUAAAAGCACAUAGGAAUUAUUCUAGGAUCUGGGCAAACGCCCACUUAACCUGGUUGAACAGAGCAGAAGAUCUCCCCAGGAGCAUGAAUAUUACACAUGCUGUGGCCAUCCUGGCUUAUACAUCAAACAACAUUGUCCGCACAGAUUUUACUAGAGCCAUGGCCACUGCUGGCAGGUCCCCACAGCAGUAUAAACACUCAUUCCAUUUCAAAUACCUCCACUACUACCUGACUUCAGCAGUCCAGCUGCUAAGGGAAGAAAUGAUCCUGAUGAAUGGCUCUUCAUGUUAUGAGGUACAUCAUGAGAUGAAGGGUAACUAUUUGAAAGCCAACAGAGGGGCCACCAUCCGAUUUGGCCAGUUCCUCUCCACUUCCCUCCUACAAGAAGAGGCACAGAAGGUUGGGAACCAAACUCUACUCACCAUAUUUACCUGCCUGGGAGUGCCUGUACAAGAAUUCUCUCUCAGGAAGGAAGUCCUGGUCCCUCCCUAUGAGGUGUUCAAAGUUGUAAAUAUGAGCUACCACCCUCAAGGAAAUUGGUUGCAAUUGCAGUCAGCUGGGAACCUGAGCACAUACAACUGUCAGCUGCUAAAAGGUUCUGGCAAAAAGUACAAUCCUGCUCCUAUGGUUAUUGCUUGUCUCUCCUUUUUGACCAGUGUUGUCAUCUCUUCCAAAAGUGGAGUAUAAAUGAAACUUGUGGUUUUGCUUUUGCUGUGCCCUUUUGCUUGAUGCCAGCCAGGGCACCCUGAAUACCCUUGGGGACUCACUCUGCCUGGUUAUCAACUGAUGUAGCGCUGGCUCAGCCUACUGCCUGUGAGUGGACCUAGAACUCAGUGUAUUUCUUCUUCAUGGACACAGAUUUAUCCUGGGAUAGAAAAGGACCCAAUCAAAGCUGUCACACAGAGAGAGAGAGAGAGAGGCAGAGGCACAGGCAGAGGGAGAAGCAGGCUCCAUGCACCGGGAGCCCGACGUAGGAUUCGAUCCAGGGUCUCCCGGAUCACGCCCUGGGCCAAAGGCAGGCGCCAAACCGCUGCGCCACCCGGGGAUCCCCAUGUGUGUGGUUUUAAAGGAGAAGAUAUGGGAGAAAAAAAUCUGAUAACCAAGCAAAUAUCAAAGAUAUAUCAAGUCCCCACUAUGUGACAACAAUUAAACAAACGGAAGUAUAAAUCACCAAACCUCACAGCUGGGAAUAUUCUCUUACUUCCCUCAGGGGGUGACAGGGGUUGUUCUCCUGAUUUCCAAAGACCCUAGUAUUGGGCUAAAUGGAGUAAAGGGGGAGACUAGAUCUAUCCUUUGAGUUAUGAAAGUCUAUGCUACUUAGCCCCCCUGAGAUUUGAGUAAUAAACAAUGAAAGUGAAAUCAGUUCAUCUGACCCCAGUAGGAAUGUCUAAAGGGAUGGUGUCUUGACAGAAGAGACACAAUGGGGAGUUAGCUGCAUAAAAUCACCCAGUAGAGAAUUUAGGCAUCUAGUACUGUCAUUAUUUACAUGGCAUUUUGAGAAUAGGGCCAAGGGCAUCUCUAUCAUCUAGCUUACAUUGGCCUCUACACCAAAUAAGGCAAGCAUAUAAUUUCCAUAGACACAGUUUACAUGAUUUAUUGCCCAGGGACCUUGGCAAGUUAGUAGCUCCUGAGUAGAGAAUUCUGUGGGCCUGGCUCUGGGAACAAGCUUUGCUCUGAGCUUUAGUGAGGCAGAGAAAAGCCUCCCAACAUCUUGCAUAUUUUGUUUCUGUGCCAUAUAGAUGCACUUAUUGAGCCAGACUAUGUACAAAACACUUUGGGGAUUAAAUGUUGAAUGUAAUAUGCCAGAUCUUCCAAGAGUUUACAGUCUCUUGGGAGAAAUUAAGAACACAAACAAGUCACAGAGGAAUACCAAAAGAAAGGGGCAAGUCAAGUUUUCUGUUCACAAGAGUUCAAGAGAGAAACUCCUGAGGCAAGGGAAGAACCAAUAAGGCUUCAGGGAAGAGGCAGCAUUUGAGCAAGGCCUUGGGACACUGAGGUGGGAGCGAGAGAUGAGAGGAAGAAGACAGUGAGUGUAGGUAUGUGUCAAACGCUUAGAGCCAAAAUGCAUACAAAUAGUAAGUACUUCAAAUUUAGAGAAAAGUGAGAUCCCACUGUCCUAUGGUUGGAAACAGCUUUCUAUGGGAAAUGAGGCUCAAGGGAAGGCUUCAGAGGGAAAAGAGAGAGCUGAGUAGAAAGGAAACAGAGGAUAUAGGAAUGAUCAGUGUACAUAAGGGUCAGGAAAUAGGUGUGACAGAGUGAAGCUGUAAUGUGGACUGGAGAGGAAAUUGCCACCCAAGCUAAAAAGUCAGCCUAAUGCAUUGGAUCUUCAUGAGAAAUCCAUUUUCUGAGUAAGACAUUCUAGAUAAAUGACUCUUACAGCCACAGCAUCAGUGUCCCUUAAGAACUUGUUAGAAAUUUGAAGUCUGGAGCCUGAUCCCAAAUCCGUAGAAUCAGAAACCCAGGGCCUGUGUUUAAGAAGCCCUUCAGGCUUAUGACUUAUGGGAUUAUGAUCCAUAAAGGAAUAACCAGGUUUUUGAAAAGAUAACUUAAUUCUUCCUCCUGCUGCUGCUUUAUAGGGCAAAUCUCCAGAGAUCGAAGUUAUUCUCUUGAGUGGUAUAGAUUUGUGGGUUGAGGAUGAAUAUUCAUAUUUUACAUUCCCUCAAUCUCUCCCUAUAGUCCUAAAUUUUUGUGCAAGUAGCCAGUGAAAUGGACAUUUAUUUAAAUCAAUUCAAAGUUCAUGAAAUCUUAGGAGAUGAGUUUCAAAAAAAAUUCACUGUAAUUUCUGCUUUUAGUCUGAGAUAUCUUUGAAGAUAAAAUGGAUAAAUUCACAUGGAUUGCUAAAAGGGCUGACACUAAAGUUGCAUAGUAUUCAUCUCCUAUAGUAACUUUUAUUAAUGCUUCUCCCUUCUUGUGCACAUGAAAAAAUAAUCUGGCUUCACUUGUUUUAUUUUUAUCUUUAUGAUUCAAUGUUCUUUUUUAAAAAAAGAUUUUAUUUAUUUAUUCAUAAGAGACACAGAGAGAGAGGCAGAGACACAGGCAGAGGGAGAAGCAGGCUCCAUGCAGGGAGCCCGAUGCGGGACUCAAUUCCAGGACUCCGGGAUCAGGCCCUGAGCCAAAGGCAGAUGCUCAACCACUGAGCCACUCAGGUGUCCCUUUGAUUCAGUGUUCUAAUAUGCCUAUCUGAUUGUCCCAAAGUUCCCUAUUUGCUCUCACUUUAAAAAAUAAUAAAUCCAGUGAAAGAAAAUUCCUAUAGAGCUUGAUUUGCUUAGAGAGCCAGGACUCUUGGCCUGAGUUGUCCAAUGAUCUGAAUCAAAUUGAAUUAUAGUUUAUGAACCAGAUCUUCAUUUGGUAAAAUUGAACAUUUAUUGAGCUAGAUGCUUUCAGAGAUGCCAAAAUGUACAAAACAUUGGCAAGUGAUAGAACAUGGGAAAAAAAGGUAUUACAAGCAUUACAGGACUCCCUCACUGGCUUCCUUAUCUUCUUGUGGUAAAUGCCCAUGUGUUUUUUAUUUUGCUUUAUGGCAGUUCACUUUUUCUUCCUCACUUAUGCUUCAUUCAAGCAGUGAGGUCACACUGUGCUCGCGGAGGAAGAAUGAAACUAGAUAGAAAGUAGAAACUAGUGAGUCUUCCCCCAGGUUGCUUUUCAAAACCUGAAGGAAUUGACAGCAACGAGAAGAACCCAAAAUAAAGAAUCUGAAAGACACAUGCAAUAAGAGUAAUAGGUUUGAGAAGAGUGCAUUCCCCCCCAAACCCCCAGUAUAUCCACCGGCUGGAAGCAACAGCAGACAGGCAGUCAUCAGAGUAGGCAGAUUAGAAGUCCUUGGUGGUGAGACAAGGCCUUUGAGAGGCCCUGUCAGUGAUGGCCAGCUUCACAGGAGCCACCUGCCUCUGAAAACCCCUGCUGUGACUGAAGUAUGUAUGGCCCUUCCUAACCUCACAGGGCUAUACUAGCUGCCAUUCCCAUUGAAGUGUGGUGAAGACCCCCCCACUUGAACUGCCACUAGUCAUGCUUCCUGUCAUUUCAUAGGAAGACUCUGCCCAGGACUAUUCCUGGCCCUUGUCCCAUUCAUUUCCAGAUGACUCCCCCAGCUGUUGCAAUAUCCCUGGACAGUCUAACGACCAAGAGCAGGCAAGUGAGGACCUGAACACACACAGGUUCAGAGAAAGUAACAAAGCGAGAGCUCCACCUCCCUUCUCCCACUUAUAUACGUUUAUUUUUGAGGACAGAGUAGCAAAUGAAUCAGAGUUCAAGAAUGUCCUCAAAAUAAGCCAGCUAGAGGAUCACCUGGGUGGCUCAGUGGUUGAGCACCUGCCUUCGGCUCAGAGUGUGAUCCUGUGGUCCUGGGAUCGAGUCCUACAUCAGGACUAUGUCUGCCUGUGUCUCUGCCUUUCUCUCCAUGUCUCUUAUGAAUAAAUAAAUACAAUCUUAAAAAAAAUAAUAAGCCAUCUACUAAUGGAUACCUAUUUCAAAUGCGCAAGGUUUCAGCUUUGGAGCUGAGAGAUAAUGUAGAGUUCACGUCUUGAAACUCAUCCUUUUCUCAAGCCCUCUAAGUCCUGAAACUUUCAAAUCCCCUUGGCUCUUGCCACAGGACAUUCUGAAGGUCUUCCUGUUUAGGGGGCAAGGAAGAGAUUCCUAAUUCAAAAUUACAGUGGUGAUUCCAAUGACAGCCUUGGCUUUGGGAGCUGAGCUCCUAACUCAGGCUAGCAAAAAUGCAACUUCAAAGUAUCCACAACUGAGGAGGUCAUGGUGGCAACCUUGGUGGAUGUGACUGCAUCGUAGACUUCAAAGUACAUAAACAGAGUGUCUUCUUCCCCAACUCCAUCAAAUGCUCACAGUUUUUUUUUUUUCUCUUUCAGUUUUUCAUAUUUCAGCCUAGUUUUUAAGUGUAGGGAAAUAUAUUUUAUUUGUAGAGGAGAAAAUGAGAUUUCAAACUUGAGAUGAGAACAUGUUUGAAUGAGGACAAACCUUAGGUAUUCUCAGAAGAAAAAUUCCAAGAAAGAACUAGAGUUAUUCAUUGCUUUUUUAAAAUUCUCAACAAAGUUCCUGUUAGGUAUCAUGUAGAAUAGGGCCAUCUUGAAAGCAUACACUCUUUCCCAUAGAUAAGGGCCAAAGACUUUCUGGUAGGCAAGGGAUUUGUCUAACCUUCCUUCCCCAAUACAAGCACAUCUCAGAAAUCCUACUUCUAUGAGUGUUACAGUCUUUUCUUUGUGAAAGGUUAGAGCACCUCCAUUUUUGAAACUCCAAUAGCUCCUAAUUAUAAGACCUCAAUAGGAGACAGACAAGAAUAAACCAUUUGCCCUGGUCUUAUCCAAGUAAGAAAACUAUUACUCUUCAUUGAUUGUUCUUAUUUACUCCUGGAUAAGUCAUACCAAAAGAAUCUAGUGAUGGCUUAUGAUAGGUAAGGCACUGAUGAUACAGAGAUUGGUAUAUGAGUGACAAAAAUGCAGAAGGUAGGGGCACCUGGGUGGCUCAGUUGGUUAAGCAUCUGCCUUCAGCUCAGGUCAUGAUCUCAGGGUCCUGGGAUUGAGCCCCACAGCAGGCUCCCUGCUCAGUAGGGAGUCUGCUUCUGCCUAUGCCACUACCCCUGCUCAUUCUUUCUCUCUCUCUCAAUUAAAUAAAAUCUUUUUAAAAAUGCAGAAAAUUACUUUAUAUGUUUCCUGUGCCUGAACAGUAGUUUCUGCCAGAUUAUCUAAUGAUAAUGCUAACAUUUACCUGGACUUCUCACUGUAGUAUCUAGAAAUAGGACUACUAAGAGUAGAAAUUAGUUUAGGGUUAUUUUAAUUAUGCUUUAAGAUGAUAUGUAAUGUUUAGAGACAUCCUCAAAUGUAAUACAUUUCCUUGAUGUUCUGAACAAUAUGUUAUUUUUAGUAACUGCCAUUUCAAGUAGGUUUUCUUUGAUUAUUUUUAUUUGAAUAAAGCAAAACUUGAGGUAAA
This is an RNA transcript of Canis lupus familiaris (dog), 6858 nucleotides long. It is a transcript of the gene named ADP-ribosyltransferase 4, with no coding region annotated. NCBI's taxonomy places the organism in Eukaryota, Metazoa, Chordata, Mammalia, Carnivora, Canidae. The transcript has 4 exons. The record is from RefSeq and is a predicted model, not a curated record.